This 253-nucleotide ribosomal RNA is filed under the name uncultured bacterium. Its description in RNAcentral is "partial 16S ribosomal RNA". It matches the Rfam family "Bacterial small subunit ribosomal RNA", at positions 524 to 776 of the family's 1533-position model. The record is from RNAcentral.
UACGGGGGGGGCAAGCGUUGUUCGGAAUUACUGGGCGUAAAGGGCUCGUAGGCGGCCAACUAAGUCAGACGUGAAAUCCCUCGGCUUAACCGGGGAACUGCGUCUGAUACUGGAUGGCUUGAGAUUGGGAGAGGGAUGCGGAAUUCCAGGUGUAGCGGUGAAAUGCGUAGAUAUCUGGAGGAACACCAGAGGCGAAGGCGGCUACCUGGACAAUUGCUGACGCUCAGGCACGAAAGCGUGGGGAGCAAAAGGG